RNAcentral lists this ribosomal RNA (253 nucleotides) under uncultured bacterium. RNAcentral describes it as "partial 16S ribosomal RNA". It matches the Rfam family "Bacterial small subunit ribosomal RNA", at positions 524 to 776 of the family's 1533-position model. The record is from RNAcentral.
UACGUAGGGGGCUAGCGUUGUCCGGAAUCAUUGGGCGUAAAGCGCGCGUAGGCGGCCCGGUAAGUCCGCUGUAAAAGUCAAAGGCUCAACCUUUGAAUGCCGGUGGAUACUGUCGGGCUAGAGUCCGGAAGAGGCGAGUGGAAUUCCUGGUGUAGCGGUGGAAUGCGUAGAUAUCUGGAGGAACACCGGUGGCGAAGGCGGCGUUCUGGACUGCAACUGACACUGAGGAACGAAAGCCAGGGGAGCAAACGGG